CCUACGGGAGGCAGCAGUGAGGAAUAUUGGUCAAUGGACGAGAGUCUGAACCAGCCAAGUAGCGUGAAGGAUGACUGCCCUAGGGGUUGUAAACUUCUUUUAUAUGGGAAUAAAAUGUUCCACGUGUGGGAUUUUGUAUGUACCAUAUGAAUAAGGAUCGGCUAACUCCGUGCCAGCAGCCGCGGUAAUACGGAGGAUCCGAGCGUUAUCCGGAUUUAUUGGGUUUAAAGGGAGCGUAGGUGGAUUGUUAAGUCAGUUGUGAAAGUUUGCGGCUCAACCGUAAAAUUGCAGUUGAAACUGGCAGUCUUGAGUACAGUAGAGGUAGGCGGAAUUCGUGGUGUAGCGGUGAAAUGCGUAGAUAUCACGAAGAACUCCGAUUGCGAAGGCAGUUCACUGGACUGCAACUGACACUGAGGCUCGAAAGUGUGGGUAUCAAACAGGAUUAGAUACCCCAGUAGUC
RNAcentral lists this ribosomal RNA (460 nucleotides) under uncultured bacterium. RNAcentral describes it as "partial 16S ribosomal RNA". It matches the Rfam family "Bacterial small subunit ribosomal RNA", at positions 338 to 795 of the family's 1533-position model. The record is from RNAcentral.